Molecule: long non-coding RNA, 689 nt
Organism: Daktulosphaira vitifoliae (grape phylloxera)
Lineage: Eukaryota; Metazoa; Arthropoda; Insecta; Hemiptera; Phylloxeridae
Exons: 4
Source: RefSeq, a predicted model, not a curated record
UUUAAUAAUUUUCGUCAGCGAUGUGGAUAAUGAACAAAAUUUUAUAAAUCAAAUCGCAUACGACAUAUCGCAUACGACAUAUUGCAUACGAUUUGUCGCAUACGAUAUAUCGCAUUCAAUAUUAAGCACACGAAAAAUAUAAUGGGAUAUUUCUGAUAAUUAUUGAAAAACUCUACAUUUUGAAAAACGAUGUGGAUAAUGAACAAAAUUUUAUAAAUCAAAUCGCAUACGACAUAUCGCAUACGACAUAUUGCAUACGAUUUGUCGCAUACGAUAUAUCGCAUUCAAUAUUAAGCACACGAAAAAUAUAAUGGGAUAUUUCUGAUAAUUAUUGAAAAACUCUACAUUUUGAAAAACGAUGUGGAUAAUGAACAAAAUUUUAUAAAUCAAAUCGCAUACGACAUAUCGCAUACGACAUAUUGCAUACGAUUUGUCGCAUACGAUAUAUCGCAUUCAAUAUUAAGCACACGAAAAAUAUAAUGGGAUAUUUCUGAUAAUUAUUGAAAAACUCUACAUUUUGAAAAACGAUGUGGAUAAUGAACAAAAUUUUAUAAAUCAAAUCGCAUACGACAUAUCGCAUACGACAUAUUGCAUACGAUUUGUCGCAUACGAUAUAUCGCAUUCAAUAUUAAGCACACGAAAAAUAUAAUGGGAUAUUUCUGAUAAUUAUUGAAAAACUCUACAUUUUG